RNAcentral lists this ribosomal RNA (1693 nucleotides) under Escherichia coli. RNAcentral's name for it is "partial 23S ribosomal RNA". It matches the Rfam family "Bacterial large subunit ribosomal RNA", at positions 1121 to 2798 of the family's 2925-position model. The record is from RNAcentral. Lineage: Bacteria; Pseudomonadati; Pseudomonadota; Gammaproteobacteria; Enterobacterales; Enterobacteriaceae.
AUUUAAAGAAAGCGUAAUAGCUCACUGGUCGAGUCGGCCUGCGCGGAAGAUGUAACGGGGCUAAACCAUGCACCGAAGCUGCGGCAGCGACGCUGAUGCGUUGUUGGGUAGGGGAGCGUUCUGUAAGCCUGUGAAGGUGUGCUGUGAGGCAUGCUGGAGGUAUCAGAAGUGCGAAUGCUGACAUAAGUAACGAUAAAGCGGGUGAAAAGCCCGCUCGCCGGAAGACCAAGGGUUCCUGUCCAACGUUAAUCGGGGCAGGGUGAGUCGACCCCUAAGGCGAGGCCGAAAGGCGUAGUCGAUGGGAAACAGGUUAAUAUUCCUGUACUUGGUGUUACUGCGAAGGGGGGACGGAGAAGGCUAUGUUGGCCGGGCGACGGUUGUCCCGGUUUAAGCGUGUAGGCUGGUUUUCCAGGCAAAUCCGGAAAAUCAAGGCUGAGGCGUGAUGACGAGGCACUACGGUGCUGAAGCAACAAAUGCCCUGCUUCCAGGAAAAGCCUCUAAGCAUCAGGUAACAUCAAAUCGUACCCCAAACCGACACAGGUGGUCAGGUAGAGAAUACCAAGGCGCUUGAGAGAACUCGGGUGAAGGAACUAGGCAAAAUGGUGCCGUAACUUCGGGAGAAGGCACGCUGAUAUGUAGGUGAAGUCCCUCGCGGAUGGAGCUGAAAUCAGUCGAAGAUACCAGCUGGCUGCAACUGUUUAUUAAAAACACAGCACUGUGCAAACACGAAAGUGGACGUAUACGGUGUGACGCCUGCCCGGUGCCGGAAGGUUAAUUGAUGGGGUCAGCGCAAGCGAAGCUCUUGAUCGAAGCCCCGGUAAACGGCGGCCGUAACUAUAACGGUCCUAAGGUAGCGAAAUUCCUUGUCGGGUAAGUUCCGACCUGCACGAAUGGCGUAAUGAUGGCCAGGCUGUCUCCACCCGAGACUCAGUGAAAUUGAACUCGCUGUGAAGAUGCAGUGUACCCGCGGCAAGACGGAAAGACCCCGUGAACCUUUACUAUAGCUUGACACUGAACAUUGAGCCUUGAUGUGUAGGAUAGGUGGGAGGCUUAGAAGUGUGGACGCCAGUCUGCAUGGAGCCGACCUUGAAAUACCACCCUUUAAUGUUUGAUGUUCUAACGUUGACCCGUAAUCCGGGUUGCGGACAGUGUCUGGUGGGUAGUUUGACUGGGGCGGUCUCCUCCUAAAGAGUAACGGAGGAGCACGAAGGUUGGCUAAUCCUGGUCGGACAUCAGGAGGUUAGUGCAAUGGCAUAAGCCAGCUUGACUGCGAGCGUGACGGCGCGAGCAGGUGCGAAAGCAGGUCAUAGUGAUCCGGUGGUUCUGAAUGGAAGGGCCAUCGCUCAACGGAUAAAAGGUACUCCGGGGAUAACAGGCUGAUACCGCCCAAGAGUUCAUAUCGACGGCGGUGUUUGGCACCUCGAUGUCGGCUCAUCACAUCCUGGGGCUGAAGUAGGUCCCAAGGGUAUGGCUGUUCGCCAUUUAAAGUGGUACGCGAGCUGGGUUUAGAACGUCGUGAGACAGUUCGGUCCCUAUCUGCCGUGGGCGCUGGAGAACUGAGGGGGGCUGCUCCUAGUACGAGAGGACCGGAGUGGACGCAUCACUGGUGUUCGGGUUGUCAUGCCAAUGGCACUGCCCGGUAGCUAAAUGCGGAAGAGAUAAGUGCUGAAAGCAUCUAAGCACGAAACUUGCC